AAUGCUGGGAUACUGAAGGUCCGCCCAGCGCUGCCUGCGGGUUUAGCAAUCUUUCGGUUUAGAAAGUGGAUUGUUUUGUGCCUUUGCUGUCUUAUCUGGACCCUCUGAAUUGGCAAACUGAGAACAGGGAAGGCACAGCUAAUUGGGCAAGCAUGAAGAACCCAGGAGGCAGACCUACACCUCAAGUUUCUGUGAUGUCCUUUCAGGAACAGGGAAACUUGGACACUCAGCUAUACACAGAAGAGAAGCCCACAUGAGGAUGGAAACAGAGCUUGGAAUUACGCAGCUAUGAGCCAAGGAACACCAAGGAAUGCCAGCAACCACCAGAAGCCAGGAAGAGGCAAAGAUUCUUCCCUAAAUCCUUCAGAGGAAGCAUGGCAUUUCCAAUACCUUGAUUUUGGACUUCUAUAACUGUUUUUCUGUAACUAUGAGGAAAUAAAUUUCUGUUGUUUUAAGCCACCCAGAUUACGGUACUCCAUAACAAUAGUCAUAGGAAACCAGUGCACUUGCUAUUUAAAGAUGACUUUCAGCUGUGUUUUCCAGUUUUAUGGGGCUGGUCCUCAUAGCCCAUGUUGUCAUUUAGGACCAUGGCAUUAAACUUCCUUCAAAUCCUACCUCUUUACCCUGCCAGGCCAGGAAUCUCAUGGUGGAACAAGGUUUGGUGAACAAGGUUUGUUGUCAUGGAAGGCCUCUAGUAUGACUGGAGAGUUCAGCCCACAUCUUUUCUGGGUUUUGAGAAUUAAGAUUUUUCUCUUUCAGGACCAAGAACACAUAAAUAACUUACCUCAAAUUCUUUCAUAAUUUACUAGUAUUAGAGGCAGGUAUGGUAGCUGGCUGAGUAGAAGACUAAGCAUUGAAAUUUUUACCAAGUCCAAACUCACUGCAUGACAGGCCAGUAAAUUAGGAGACAAGUUGUUGGGACAAGAAAUAACUUUAUUAGGACAGCCAGCAGAAGAAGAUGGCAGACUGAUGUUCUAGAGAACCAUCUUAGGCCAGUCAAAAUUCAGGCUUCUUUUAUGCUAAAUAAGACAGGGGGUUGGGGUGGGGGAGGUGGUGCUGCAAAUUCUUGGUGCAGGAAUUGUUUGUUUUUGCAGCUGUCCACAUAGGUCAGGAUGUUUCUGUAAACCUCCAACAAAACAAUGUUAUUCUCUGUAUAUGAAUGGAAAAGUGCUACACUCUUAAAGGUCAGAGCCUUGAGAAUAGGCCAUCCUGUAUAUUUCAUUCUAUAGGGAAUAUUCUUAAAGCAAAAGCAAUAGAAUGUAACAGUUAAAGUAAAAGAAACAGAUCUAAUAUGGAGUCAUAUUUGUUUUCCUCUAUUACAGAAUAAGUAGUCAAUAUUUUGAGUGUAGGGAAACCACUGGAUCAGUGGCUACACUUUAGAGUCACUGAGAUUUUUAACAAACACCAAUGUCUAGGUCCUACCUGCAGAGAUUAGAGUAAGAAAAAUCCCAGGAAUUUGUAUUUUUUAAAAAAGUCUCCAGUAUUCAGCAUUGAAAAUGUGUAUAAGGUAAUGACCUGGGUUAUAAGAAAUGGGAUCUAUGAUGGAUCCAUUCAACUUCUUACCAGGUCUUAUAGAAAGUUAUUAAUUUAUUCUAUGGAUAAUUAUACCUAGUUCCUGAGUAUCAGAGUUCUCUCAAAACUUCCUUUUGUGCUUUAUAUCUAACACCAAGCUUUGUCCCAAACUCUUCCUUCUCUGUCCUCCAUACCCAAUCAGUUAUCUCCACAGUUUCUUUAUGUCUUCAGAUGCAGCUGACUUUAGACUGCCAGGAAAAGACAUAAUUCUUCUGAUGCUGAGAAACAUAGUCAUAGUGAAGAAGUGGGACAGGAACUGUUUGUAUUAGUGAAUCCAGAACUGGCUGGAGCCUCUUUGACCUUAAGUUGGAGUAGGGUAAGGGUCUUGUGGGUUCUAAGGAUGCCUAGUGGGCUGAUGCUGUGUCUCAGAAACUAGACUUCUGGGAACUCCCUUGUGGUGGAGUGGGUUAAGGAUCUCGCAUUGUCACUGCAGGGCUUGGAUCACUGCUGUGGCACAGAUUCAAUCCUGCCUGGGGAACUACCACAUGCUGCAGGUGCAGCUGAAAAAUAAAAACAAAAAGCUAGACUAAUGCCUUCCAAGUAAACACUUAUUUAUCCUACCUUACAACUUGUACUGAUGGAGGCUGGCUGAAACCAUGCAGAUAUGCAUGAUAUGCUGGGCCAGAUCCUAUGGGUAAAUCAAGAUAAUGUCAAAUAGAUUCUUUACAGACUGUUGGAGGGAGACCAGUCUAUUGUAUUAUUCCCAAUGCCAUUAUACUCAUAACAACAGUAAGUCAGAAGGUAACUUGGAUUCAAUUUAGUUUGUGUGGAUUUCGAUGAAGUACUUUCACUGAUUUACCAGUCGUAAUGAGAGGUGUAUCUCAAUGCAAAAUUUAGGACAUGAGGGAGACGGGAUUAAGAUAGAAUAGAAGGACUAGAGCUCACCUUCUCUCAUAAAAAUAACAAAAUUACAACCAA
Sus scrofa (pig) is the source of this 2490-nucleotide long non-coding RNA. RefSeq lists it as uncharacterized. The record is from RefSeq and is a predicted model, not a curated record. NCBI's taxonomy places the organism in Eukaryota, Metazoa, Chordata, Mammalia, Artiodactyla, Suidae.